CUUUAUUUAUAACACCGAGCUAUCACAGCUAACAUUAUUGUAUUUUCUGGCUAAAUUAAGUCAGCUUAUUGAAGGUAUUCAUGUUGUGAUAAGCCGUAACUAAGGCCAUGUAUUUAAUGGGUUUUAGUUACCAGGGUUAACAAGGAAACGCGUUAGCCUCCCUACAUUUGGAAAGGUGACAUGUUAACAGACAA
This 194-nucleotide non-coding RNA is filed under the name Colwellia sp. Its description in RNAcentral is "MoCo sequence". It matches the Rfam family "Molybdenum/Tungsten riboswitch aptamer (Moco RNA motif)". The record is from RNAcentral. RNAcentral also lists the same sequence under 1 other name. Lineage: Bacteria; Pseudomonadati; Pseudomonadota; Gammaproteobacteria; Alteromonadales; Colwelliaceae.